ACAAGCUUUUAACCAAUCCACUGUGUGAGAGCCUCAGAGGGAAACCCCUGAAGCCAUGAGAAGAUCAAGAGAUCCUGAGGCUACAGGGACCCUCUUCCAGCAAGGCCUGAUAGGAAGAUCACUUUGCAGAGCCCUGCAUGUGGAGUCAGGAGACAGUUUCAACUCCAAAGGUAGACACACCGUGAUAUCCUAUGAUGUGAGUUUUUUCAGAAAGCAAAGUGAACAUCCACAACGGGAGGCAGGCAGUCCAGCCCUGGAAGUGGACAGAAGCCACAGUGAUCAGAAGACCUCUGAGGUGAGGAAACAUCUUCGAAGUGCUAGAGUAGUUACCAGUCAGCAGGGAUAGCGCUCUUUCUUGUAGGAAAUGUUACAGGAACCUUCAGAGUUCACACAUGGGAAG
RNAcentral lists this long non-coding RNA (400 nucleotides) under Fukomys damarensis (Damara mole-rat). RNAcentral describes it as "lncRNA (ENSFDAG00000026399.1)". Lineage: Eukaryota; Metazoa; Chordata; Mammalia; Rodentia; Bathyergidae. The record is from RNAcentral.